AUGAGCACGGCCCUGGCUACUUGGAGAGGCGCGGUGAAGAGAAUGAUUGAAAAAGGUGAUAGUUAUGAGAAUAUCAAGGAUAAAAAUCCUUCGGUCAUUGAAGAUGACUACAAGGAGUUCAAGAUCAAGUGCGAGAGCAACGCAACCAUGGAAUCAUGUCAGUUGGGGAAAGAUAUGCGGGACUUGAACUUAGGGGUCCACCAACUCGGUCCCGGCGGUUAUAGAGUGGCGGAACCUAUUUGGGAUAAGGAGGACGCGGAGCGUGUCGAGCAAGGCCUAUCGCCCCGCUUCAAGAAAUACCGUGACAAGCAGACCAGGAACUAUGUUAGGGCCCGGUACAAGGUGGACCCAGUAACAAAGGAGCUUACCACGGGUCCAAAGACCAAGGCGCUUGAUCUUGUUCUGGACACUAAAAGCAGUAGCGCGGGGUCGUCUUAG
Molecule: ribosomal RNA, 438 nt
Filed under: Triticum aestivum (bread wheat)
Lineage: Eukaryota; Viridiplantae; Streptophyta; Magnoliopsida; Poales; Poaceae
Description: partial small subunit ribosomal RNA
Source: RNAcentral